ACAGGGCAAAAGGACUUUUAGGAAAAGUCACAAAAAGCUAGGAAUUCCUGACUUUUCCAAAAAGUCAGUUUUUCUUAUAUCAAAUUCCCAAAAGUUGCUUUUAAAAUACUUUUAGCAAACAUCUUUUCCCCCUAUCUUUUUCUAAAAGUUCUUUUUGUCCCUCAAAAAGAUAGGCCAAACACCCCCUUCGUCGGUCGAUUCGCAAGCCGAGAUUGUCUCCGGGGUCGAUGAUACCAAAGCAACAAAGACGUGAAGAAGCAGCGAAGUUUCGCUCAUUCCCAUUCGGCUAUGAGGUGCGAAGGAAGGAGGUCUGAUAGGGAGUCCGGGCGUCGCAAGCAGCGGUAGCACCAAAGACGAACCUUCGGAGCUCUAUGGUCGAUGGCAACAACAGAGAAAGAAAACGAGGGGAAAGGGGGUCUCCGGUGAGGUGUCGCGAGCAGCAGCAGUGACGAAGACGAGGUCUUCGCUGGGGUUUGCUCGACGGAAGAAGAAGGGGAGGGUGUGAGGGGUGGGUCGUCGGUCUCAGUGGGUGUUGCGAUGAGGCCAUUUGCGAUCGGUGGUUGAAAAGGGAGGCACCUUCGGUGCUUCGCUGGACCGAAGAGGGAAAAAAAUGGAAGCAGCAGGGGUGGGGCUGCUGCUUCGAUUGGUAGCAGGGAAUCGAUGGGUGUUUGGGUUGGGGCUUGGUCAUCGAAACAGGAAGGGACAAAGGUGGAUACUAAUGUUUCUGGUCCAAUGGCGAAAAAAAGAAGGUAGCAGGGGGUGUUUCUCGUAGCGAUCGAUGAAGGAAUAAGGCAGCAGCAAAAACGAUUCUUAGGGGUUUUUGGAGGGUUCGAUUGACAGCAAGGGAGCUGUGGUUUUACUGUCUUCACCGAGGGAAAGAUGGGUGAAGGGAGCUCUUUUAUUUCACAUUUAACUUGUAAUUGUAUAUAUAAAAUUUGAUCCCUCAGAUUUGAUUUUAUUUUAACGUGA
Lactuca sativa (garden lettuce) is the source of this 969-nucleotide long non-coding RNA. RefSeq lists it as uncharacterized. The record is from RefSeq and is a predicted model, not a curated record. NCBI's taxonomy places the organism in Eukaryota, Viridiplantae, Streptophyta, Magnoliopsida, Asterales, Asteraceae.